Molecule: transfer RNA, 72 nt
Organism: Trametes cinnabarina
Lineage: Eukaryota; Fungi; Basidiomycota; Agaricomycetes; Polyporales; Polyporaceae
Rfam family: tRNA
About the family: Transfer RNA (tRNA) molecules are approximately 80 nucleotides in length. Their secondary structure includes four short double-helical elements and three loops (D, anti-codon, and T loops).
Source: Rfam
AGCAACUUGACGCAGUGGAAGCGUGCAGGGCUCAUAACCCUGAAGUCCCUGGAUCGAAACCAGGAGUUGCUA